RNAcentral lists this ribosomal RNA (301 nucleotides) under uncultured bacterium. Its description in RNAcentral is "partial 16S ribosomal RNA". It matches the Rfam family "Bacterial small subunit ribosomal RNA", at positions 509 to 807 of the family's 1533-position model. The record is from RNAcentral.
CAGUAGCCGCGGGAAUACGUAGGGUGCAAGCGUUGUCCGGAAUUAUUGGGCGUAAAGAGCUCGUAGGCGGUUUGUCGCGUCUGCUGUGAAAUCCCGAGGCUCAACCUCGGGCUUGCAGUGGGUACGGGCAGACUAGAGUGCGGUAGGGGAGAUUGGAAUUCCUGGUGUAGCGGUGGAAUGCGCAGAUAUCAGGAGGAACACCGAUGGCGAAGGCAGAUCUCUGGGCCGUAACUGACGCUGAGGAGCGAAAGCGUGGGGAGCGAACAGGAUUAGAUACCCCCGUAGUCCCUGUCUCUUAUAC